Long non-coding RNA from Schistocerca piceifrons (Central American locust), 794 nucleotides. RefSeq lists it as uncharacterized. The transcript has 2 exons. The record is from RefSeq and is a predicted model, not a curated record. Lineage: Eukaryota; Metazoa; Arthropoda; Insecta; Orthoptera; Acrididae.
UGCGCGAGCUGCUCCUUGACUGCAAAGCUAGAGGAGUGAUGCGUUAUUCUGACGGGUACAAACACGAAGUUAAAACGGAAAAUAUUUGAAAGCACUUACGAGGAUACGUGAUCAGAUAGGAUUAGAUUCAGUUUGGAUGCAUUAUUCUGGUAUUUUUUGGGAAGGGUCAGCCUUAGAGCCUUAAUGGACGCUUCGCCACUGCACGUGAAGUAAACAGUCAAUCUUUCUUUCCGAGAAUCUUACGUCUACGACUGACCGCUCUAGUACUUAUCUAUGAGCCGCGACCCACACAUGUCCGCGACCUGUUGAACCGCAUUCGGAUAACACUUGACGAGCAGACGUGAUUCUGAAUUGACUCCAGUUUUAUCUGGGACGCCAUGGCUCGCACCACGAUCGCCCUGCUGCUGUUUGCUCUGCUCGUCGCCACAGUGGCCGUGGCGCUAGUGUCGGCCGGCGGAGACAUCCCCAGCAGCGCCAACUGCCCGCUCGGCUACGUCGAACGCAAGGGGCGCUGCGUGUCCAGUAUCACCAAGGUGGUGGAGGUAUCUACGAAGAAGCCCUGAACAUGUGAUGCAGUUAAUCCUUUGUAAAUUGAAAAUUGAUCACAACUACCCAAUAUGUCAUCUGACGGUGAGGAGUGUACAGGCCUGUCACUGAGAAAUCUCGUACAUACUUUGUUGUGGACGGCAAUUGUGUUCGAAGUAUCUCGGAAGAAAUUUUCGAAUAUGUUCGAAAACAAAUUUGAUUUUAUAUGUAUGCAUCAUUACUUUGUUAAUUAAAGUACGAUUAUGAAA